UUCGACACACUAUCAUUAACUGAAUCCAUAGGUUAAUGAGGCGAACCGGGGGAACUGAAACAUCUAAGUACCCCGAGGAAAAGAAAUCAACCGAGAUUCCCCCAGUAGCGGCGAGCGAACGGGGAGCAGCCCAGAGCCUGAAUCAGUGUGUGUGUUAGUGGAAGCGUCUGGAAAGGCGCGCGAUACAGGGUGACAGCCCCGUACACAAAAAUGCACAUGCUGUGAGCUCGAUGAGUAGGGCGGGACACGUGGUAUCCUGUCUGAAUAUGGGGGGACCAUCCUCCAAGGCUAAAUACUCCUGACUGACCGAUAGUGAACCAGUACCGUGAGGGAAAGGCGAAAAGAACCCCGGCGAGGGGAGUGAAAAAGAACCUGAAACCGUGUACGUACAAGCAGUGGGAGCACGCUUAGGCGUGUGACUGCGUACCUUUUGUAUAAUGGGUCAGCGACUUAUAUUCUGUAGCAAGGUUAACCGAAUAGGGGAGCCGAAGGGAAACCGAGUCUUAACUGGGCGUUAAGUUGCAGGGUAUAGACCCGAAACCCGGUGAUCUAGCCAUGGGCAGGUUGAAGGUUGGGUAACACUAACUGGAGGACCGAACCGACUAAUGUUGAAAAAUUAGCGGAUGACUUGUGGCUGGGGGUGAAAGGCCAAUCAAACCGGGAGAUAGCUGGUUCUCCCCGAAAGCUAUUUAGGUAGCGCCUCGUGAAUUCAUCUCCGGGGGUAGAGCACUGUUUCGGCAAGGGGGUCAUCCCGACUUACCAACCCGAUGCAAACUGCGAAUACCGGAGAAUGUUAUCACGGGAGACACACGGCGGGUGCUAACGUCCGUCGUGAAGAGGGAAACAACCCAGACCGCCAGCUAAGGUCCCAAAGUCAUGGUUAAGUGGGAAACGAUGUGGGAAGGCCCAGACAGCCAGGAUGUUGGCUUAGAAGCAGCCAUCAUUUAAAGAAAGCGUAAUAGCUCACUGGUCGAGUCGGCCUGCGCGGAAGAUGUAACGGGGCUAAACCAUGCACCGAAGCUGCGGCAGCGACGCUUAUGCGUUGUUGGGUAGGGGAGCGUUCUGUAAGCCUGCGAAGGUGUGCUGUGAGGCAUGCUGGAGGUAUCAGAAGUGCGAAUGCUGACAUAAGUAACGAUAAAGCGGGUGAAAAGCCCGCUCGCCGGAAGACCAAGGGUUCCUGUCCAACGUUAAUCGGGGCAGGGUGAGUCGACCCCUAAGGCGAGGCCGAAAGGCGUAGUCGAUGGGAAACAGGUUAAUAUUCCUGUACUUGGUGUUACUGCGAAGGGGGGACGGAGAAGGCUAUGUUGGCCGGGCGACGGUUGUCCCGGUUUAAGCGUGUAGGCUGGUUUUCCAGGCAAAUCCGGAAAAUCAAGGCUGAGGCGUGAUGACGAGGCACUACGGUGCUGAAGCAACAAAUGCCCUGCUUCCAGGAAAAGCCUCUAAGCAUCAGGUAACAUCAAAUCGUACCCCAAACCGACACAGGUGGUCAGGUAGAGAAUACCAAGGCGCUUGAGAGAACUCGGGUGAAGGAACUAGGCAAAAUGGUGCCGUAACUUCGGGAGAAGGCACGCUGAUAUGUAGGUGAAGUCCCUCGCGGAUGGAGCUGAAAUCAGUCGAAGAUACCAGCUGGCUGCAACUGUUUAUUAAAAACACAGCACUGUGCAAACACGAAAGUGGACGUAUACGGUGUGACGCCUGCCCGGUGCCGGAAGGUUAAUUGAUGGGGUCAGCGCAAGCGAAGCUCUUGAUCGAAGCCCCGGUAAACGGCGGCCGUAACUAUAACGGUCCUAAGGUAGCGAAAUUCCUUGUCGGGUAAGUUCCGACCUGCACGAAUGGCGUAAUGAUGGCCAGGCUGUCUCCACCCGAGACUCAGUGAAAUUGAACUCGCUGUGAAGAUGCAGUGUACCCGCGGCAAGACGGAAAGACCCCGUGAACCUUUACUAUAGCUUGACACUGAACAUUGAGCCUUGAUGUGUAGGAUAGGUGGGAGGCUUUGAAGUGUGGACGCCAGUCUGCAUGGAGCCGACCUUGAAAUACCACCCUUUAAUGUUU
This 2052-nucleotide ribosomal RNA is filed under the name Escherichia coli. RNAcentral describes it as "partial 23S ribosomal RNA". It matches the Rfam family "Bacterial large subunit ribosomal RNA", at positions 139 to 2215 of the family's 2925-position model. The record is from RNAcentral. Lineage: Bacteria; Pseudomonadati; Pseudomonadota; Gammaproteobacteria; Enterobacterales; Enterobacteriaceae.